GGGGGACAACAUUUCGAAAGGAAUGCUAAUACCGCAUACGUCCUACGGGAGAAAGCAGGGGAUCUUCGGACCUUGCGCUAAUAGAUGAGCCUAAGUCGGAUUAGCUAGUUGGUGGGGUAAAGGCCUACCAAGGCGACGAUCUGUAGCGGGUCUGAGAGGAUGAUCCGCCACACUGGGACUGAGACACGGCCCAGACUCCUACGGGAGGCAGCAGUGGGGAAUAUUGGACAAUGGGCGCAAGCCUGAUCCAGCCAUGCCGCGUGUGUGAAGAAGGCCUUAUGGUUGUAAAGCACUUUAAGCGAGGAGGAGGCUACUUUAGAUAAUACCUAGAGAUAGUGGACGUUACUCGCAGAAUAAGCACCGGCUAACUCUGUGCCAGCAGCCGCGGUAAUACAGAGGGUGCAAGCGUUAAUCGGAUUUACUGGGCGUAAAGCGCGCGUAGGCGGCUAAUUAAGUCAAAUGUGAAAUCCCCGAGCUUAACUUGGGAAUUGCAUUCGAUACUGGUUAGCUAGAGUGUGGGAGAGGAUGGUAGAAUUCCAGGUGUAGCGGUGAAAUGCGUAGAGAUCUGGAGGAAUACCGAUGGCGAAGGCAGCCAUCUGGCCUAACACUGACGCUGAGGUGCGAAAGCAUGGGGAGCAAACAGGAUUAGAUACCCUGGUAGUCCAUGCCGUAAACGAUGUCUACUAGCCGUUGGGGCCUUUGAGGCUUUAGUGGCGCAGCUAACGCGAUAAGUAGACCGCC
RNAcentral lists this ribosomal RNA (741 nucleotides) under uncultured Gammaproteobacteria bacterium. RNAcentral's name for it is "bacterial SSU rRNA". It matches the Rfam family "Bacterial small subunit ribosomal RNA", at positions 138 to 873 of the family's 1533-position model. Lineage: Bacteria; Pseudomonadati; Pseudomonadota; Gammaproteobacteria. The record is from RNAcentral.